ACCUACUGUUUAAUUUUGAGGGUUCGUUUUUACGAAUACUCAAAAUUAGCACUUUAAGCAAUGGAAUUUAUUCGUUGGCGCUGUGCGUUAGCACUUUAAGCAACAGAAUAAACUGAACGCAUGUGAAGUUUGUUUGUUGGCGCUGUGCGUUAGCACUUUAAGCAACGGGAUUUAUCCGUUGGCGCUGUGCUUUAGCACUUUGAAAACUGCAUAUAUAUAUUUAGUGAUAUGACAUCUAAUUUGUAAUAUAUAAAGCUGAUAACUUUUAAAAUUAUCGAAGUUGAUAGCUUCUAAUCUAUCAAACCUUUUUAACUGGUCAA
This 320-nucleotide unclassified non-coding RNA is filed under the name Clostridioides difficile. RNAcentral's name for it is "16S-23S ribosomal RNA intergenic spacer". Lineage: Bacteria; Bacillati; Bacillota; Clostridia; Peptostreptococcales; Peptostreptococcaceae. The record is from RNAcentral.